RNAcentral lists this ribosomal RNA (413 nucleotides) under uncultured bacterium. Its description in RNAcentral is "bacterial SSU rRNA". It matches the Rfam family "Bacterial small subunit ribosomal RNA", at positions 109 to 518 of the family's 1533-position model. The record is from RNAcentral.
AGUAACACGUAUGCAACCUGCCUGUAAGCGGGGAAUAACCCGUUGAAAAGACGGACUAAUACCGCAUAAUACUAAAUUACUGCAUGGUAAUUAUUUAAACAUUUAUGGCUUACAGAUGGGCAUGCGCAUGAUUAGCUAGUUGGAGAGGUAACGGCUCCCCAAGGCAACGAUCAUUAGGGGUUCUGAGAGGAAGGUCCCCCACACUGGUACUGAGACACGGACCAGACUCCUACGGGAGGCAGCAGUGAGGAAUAUUGGUCAAUGGACGAGAGUCUGAACCAGCCAAGUCGCGUGCAGGAAGAAUGUUCCCUAUGGAUUGUAAACUGCUUUUGCAGGGGAAUAAAGUGCAUCACGUGUGAUGUUUUGUAUGUACUCUGCGAAUAAGGAUCGGCUAACUCCGUGCCAGCCGCGGC